This 647-nucleotide ribosomal RNA is filed under the name Tolypothrix sp. JS100. Its description in RNAcentral is "bacterial SSU rRNA". It matches the Rfam family "Bacterial small subunit ribosomal RNA", at positions 117 to 795 of the family's 1533-position model. Lineage: Bacteria; Bacillati; Cyanobacteriota; Cyanophyceae; Nostocales; Tolypothrichaceae. The record is from RNAcentral.
GCGUAGAAUCUGCCUUCAGGUUCGGGACAACCACUGGAAACGGUGGCUAAUACCGAAUGUGCAGCAAUGUGAAAAAUUUAUUGCCUGAAGAUGAGCUCGCGUCUGAUUAGCUAGUAGGUGUGGUAAGAGCGCACCUAGGCGACGAUCAGUAGCUGGUCUGAGAGGAUGAUCAGCCACACUGGGACUGAGACACGGCCCAGACUCCUACGGGAGGCAGCAGUGGGGAAUUUUCCGCAAUGGGCGAAAGCCUGAGGGAGCAAUACCGCGUGAGGGAGGAAGGCUCUUGGGUUGUAAACCUCUUUUCUCAAGGAAGAAAAAAAUGACGGUACUUGAGGAAUAAGCAUCGGCUAACUCCGUGCCAGCAGCCGCGGUAAUACGGAGGAUGCAAGCGUUAUCCGGAAUGAUUGGGCGUAAAGCGUCCGCAGGUGGCUAUGUAAGUCUGCUGUUAAAGAGUCUGGCUCAACCAGAUAAAGGCAGUGGAAACUACAUGGCUAGAGUGCGUUCGGGGCAGAGGGAAUUCCUGGUGUAGCGGUGAAAUGCGUAGAGAUCAGGAAGAACACCGGUGGCGAAAGCGCUCUGCUAGGCCGCAACUGACACUGAGGGACGAAAGCUAGGGGAGCGAAAGGGAUUAGAUACCCCCUGUAGUC